This is a non-coding RNA of Paramuricea clavata, 620 nucleotides long. The record is from the annotation of a GenBank genome assembly. Lineage: Eukaryota; Metazoa; Cnidaria; Anthozoa; Malacalcyonacea; Plexauridae.
GUCUCGUACGCCUAUGUCAAUAUGGCAUUUACAACAUGAACAUAAUACGAAGCCAAAGUGAAAGUGUGAAAUUGAAAGAAACUUUAAAGAAAGCGUGCUAAUUCUCGUAUUUUACUCGUAUGUACUCGUAUUUUACUCGUAUGUACUCGUAUGUUACGCGUAUGUUACUCGUGUGUACUUGUAUGUUACUCGUGUGUUACUCGUAUGUACUCGUAUGUUACUCGUAUGUACUUGUGUGUUACUCGUAUGUACUCGUGUGGUGUUUUAGUCACGAUCGAAAUUAACUGCACCGUUGGAUUUAAAACUGCCGCUUGCUAUUAAAUUACAUACCGCUUGCCCAACCUACACAUAACUCAAUUAUUUGCUGGCAGAUAACUGUGUUAUGUGUAGGUUGCAUGAUUGCCAUAUUUAGAUGUAAGCUAUUAACCAAUCAAAACGCAUACGACGACUGUAUAAUAAAAAAAAUUAUAAACCCUCGAAAGAUACACAAUAUACAUAAAUAUGUCACCAAUAUUAACCUGGGUACUCAUCACCGUUAGUGUCAACAUUUCCUGUUACAGCAUAGCCAAAUUGUUGGAAGUUAGAGUAGAAUGCCUUCACUGUGUCUGCAGUUAUUUUCU